GUCCCUUUGGGGACAUCCGAUAAAAUUGGAACGAUACAGAGAAGAUUAGUAUGGCCCCUGCGCAAGAAUGACACGCACAAAUCGAGAAAUGGUCCAAAUUUUU
RNAcentral lists this small nuclear RNA (103 nucleotides) under Triticum dicoccoides. Lineage: Eukaryota; Viridiplantae; Streptophyta; Magnoliopsida; Poales; Poaceae. The record is from RNAcentral.